AUGUUGAUUGUACCGAAUGAAGGAUUUGCCUUAUCACGAAAGCCACAUUCGUUUCGUUUGAGGAAGUCACACGUCCUGUUCCCUAUAAAUAAGGAGAUUCAUUCUUUUUUUCAGAAAUCCCCUCUUCUUCCUCCUCAAGCCCCUAUCACAAGACCAAGCGGAUCUCAUCCCGCAGAAGACUCAGAGCAGAUCUAUCUAAUGGCAUGGCUGGCUGCCGGAUUCCCUUUCACUUAA
Molecule: ribosomal RNA, 234 nt
Filed under: Triticum aestivum (bread wheat)
Lineage: Eukaryota; Viridiplantae; Streptophyta; Magnoliopsida; Poales; Poaceae
Description: partial small subunit ribosomal RNA
Source: RNAcentral